RNAcentral lists this ribosomal RNA (163 nucleotides) under Diospyros maclurei. RNAcentral's name for it is "5.8S ribosomal RNA". It matches the Rfam family "5.8S ribosomal RNA". From Rfam's summary of the family: 5.8S ribosomal RNA (5.8S rRNA) is a component of the large subunit of the eukaryotic ribosome. It is transcribed by RNA polymerase I as part of the 45S precursor that also contains 18S and 28S rRNA. The record is from RNAcentral. Lineage: Eukaryota; Viridiplantae; Streptophyta; Magnoliopsida; Ericales; Ebenaceae.
AAACGACUCUCGGCAACGGAUAUCUCGGCUCUCGCAUCGAUGAAGAACGUAGCGAAAUGCGAUACUUGGUGUGAAUUGCAGAAUCCCGUGAACCAUCGAGUCUUUGAACGCAAGUUGCGCCCGAAGCCAGACGGCCGAGGGCACGUCUGCCUGGGCGUCACGC